UACGUAGGGACCGAGCGUUGUCCGGAUUCAUUGGGCGUAAAGAGCUCGUAGGCGGCUGCUCAAGUCGAAUGUGAAAACUCGAGGCUCAACCUCGAGCCUGCAUUCGAUACUGGGCGGCUAGAGUCUGGUAGGGGGAUCUGGAAUUCCUGGUGUAGCGGUGGAAUGCGCAGAUAUCAGGAGGAACACCGGUGGCGAAGGCGGCAUCCUGGACCAACACUGACACUGAGGAGCGAAAGCUAGGGGAGCAAACGGG
This 253-nucleotide ribosomal RNA is filed under the name uncultured bacterium. RNAcentral's name for it is "partial 16S ribosomal RNA". It matches the Rfam family "Bacterial small subunit ribosomal RNA", at positions 524 to 776 of the family's 1533-position model. The record is from RNAcentral.